ACUCAAAGGAAUUGACGGGGGCCCGCACAAGCAGCGGAGCGUGUGGUUUAAUUCGAUGCAACGCGAAGAACCUUACCUGGGUUAAAUUUGCCAGGACCGCCUCGGAAACGGGGUUUCCCUUCGGGGCCUGGUGGACGGUGCUGCACGGCUGUCGUCAGCUCGUGCCGUGAGGUGUUGGGUUAAGUCCCGCAACGAGCGCAACCCCUGGUGCCAGUUGGACUUUUCUGGCGCGACUGCCCGGAGCAACCGGGAGGAAGGCGGGGAUGACGUCAAGUCAGCGUGGCCCUAACGUCCAGGGCGACACACACGCUACAAUGGCCGGUACAGCGGGUCGCGACCGUGCGAGCGGAAGCUAAUCCCUGAAAGCCGGCCUCAGUUCAGAUUGCAGGCUGAAACUCGCCUGCAUGAAGGCGGAGUUGCUAGUAACCGCGGGUCAGCACACCGCGGUGAAUACGUUCCCGGGCCUUGUACACACCGCCCGU
RNAcentral lists this ribosomal RNA (482 nucleotides) under uncultured bacterium. Its description in RNAcentral is "partial 16S ribosomal RNA". It matches the Rfam family "Bacterial small subunit ribosomal RNA", at positions 899 to 1397 of the family's 1533-position model. The record is from RNAcentral.